Long non-coding RNA from Trachymyrmex septentrionalis, 600 nucleotides. RefSeq lists it as uncharacterized. The transcript is spliced from 3 exons. NCBI's taxonomy places the organism in Eukaryota, Metazoa, Arthropoda, Insecta, Hymenoptera, Formicidae. The record is from RefSeq and is a predicted model, not a curated record.
CAGUAUGUACAGAAAAUAUAUACCUUAAGGGCUGCAGCGCGCAAAAAUCGAAAUUGCUUGGAAAUAGUAGCGCAUAAAUCUAAUUUCAACCCUAAGAUGUGCAUAUAUUAUGUAUAGUUAUAUAGUGUAAUUUUCAAAUUAUAAACGAUUUAGUGACUGCUCCAAGAAGGAAAUGCUUUAAGGAACGCAAAAAUGGAACUUAUAUGAUUUUCCAAAUCGGUUAUUAACAAGGAGAGGGAGGGGAAGGGGGCUAAGUGACAGCCUAAGACAGGCUAAGAUUCUAAACAACUGCUUUAAAAAUGUAUUCAUCGGGCACACUACUUUCAUCAAAAUCUUUUUAAAUGCCAGUGAACUUCAUUAUCAAAUUGAGAAAGAAGAAAAUACUGUACAUACUAUCUCUUUUCAAUAGCUACUUUUAAUAGCAUAAUUCUACAGUUGUCGACUAUUUUUAACCAAACUGCAUGGAUGCCUCAAGGAUACGACUCCUUUAAAACUCCUCCUUACAAUUCUACCAACAAAGCAAGCCAAACGAUAUAAAGGAGCUAUUAAUAUUAUGAAUCUUCGAAGUAGCAUACAGUAGAAUUUUCUUCAUCAGUUUUC